Molecule: ribosomal RNA, 464 nt
Filed under: uncultured bacterium
Lineage: Bacteria
Description: bacterial SSU rRNA
Rfam family: Bacterial small subunit ribosomal RNA
Source: RNAcentral
CCAGACUCCUACGGGAGGCAGCAGUGAGGAAUAUUGGUCAAUGGGCGCGAGCCUGAACCAGCCAAGUCGCGUGAGGGAAGACGGUCCUAUGGAUUGUAAACCUCUUUUGUCGGGGAGCAAAAGACGCCACGCGUGGCGUUCCGAGAGUACCCGAAGAAAAAGCAUCGGCUAACUCCGUGCCAGCAGCCGCGGUAAUACGGAGGAUGCGAGCGUUUUCCGGAUUUAUUGGGUUUAAAGGGUGCGCCGGCGGGAAGCUAAGGUCGGCGUGAAAAUGGGGGGCCCAACCCUGUCCGAGCCGUUGAAACUGGUUUUCUUGAGUGAGUGAGAAGUAUGCGGAAUGCGUGGUGUAGCGGUGAAAUGCAUAGAUAUCACGCAGAACUCCGAUUGCGAAGGCAGCAUACCGGCGCUCAACUGACGCUGAUGCACGAAAGUGUGGGUAUCGAACAGGAUUAGAUACCCCAGUA